GAUGAACGCUGGCGGCGUGCCUAAUACAUGCAAGUCGAGCGAACAGACGAGGAGCUUGCUCCUCUGACGUUAGCGGCGGACGGGUGAGUAACACGUGGAUAACCUACCUAUAAGACUGGGAUAACUUCGGGAAACCGGAGCUAAUACCGGAGAAUAUAUUGAACCGCAUGGUUCAAUAGUGAAAGACGGUUUUGCUGUCACUUAUAGAUGGAUCCGCGCCGCAUUAGCUAGUUGGUAAGGUAACGGCUUACCAAGGCAACGAUGCGUAGCCGACCUGAGAGGGUGAUAGGCCACACUGGAGCUGAGACACGGUCCAGACUCCUGCGGGAGGCAGCAGUAGGGAAUCUUCCGCAAUGGGCGAAAGCAUGACGGAGCAACGCCGCGUGAGUGAUGAAGGUCUUCGGAUCGUAAAACUCUGUUAUUAGGGAAGAACAAAUGUGUAAGUAACUAUGCACGUCUUGACGGUACCUAAUCAGAAAGCCACGGCUAACUACGUG
Molecule: ribosomal RNA, 497 nt
Filed under: uncultured bacterium
Lineage: Bacteria
Description: partial 16S ribosomal RNA
Rfam family: Bacterial small subunit ribosomal RNA
Source: RNAcentral